Molecule: ribosomal RNA, 292 nt
Filed under: uncultured bacterium
Lineage: Bacteria
Also listed under: 2 other names
Description: partial 16S ribosomal RNA
Source: RNAcentral
GGACUACAGGGGUAUCUAAUCCCGUUUGCUCCCCUGGCUUUCGCGCCUCAGCGUCAGUAGAGGGCCAGCGGACCGCUUUCGCCACCGGCGUUCCUUCCGAUAUCAACGCAUUUCACCGCUCCACCGGAAGUUCCGUCCGCCCCUACCUCCCUCGAGCUUGACAGUAUCAGAGGCCCUUUUCCGGUUGAGCCGAAAGAUUUCACCCCUGACUUUUCAAGCCGCCUACGCGCCCUUUAAGCCCAGUGAUUCCGAACAACGUUCGCACGGUUCGUCUUACCGCGGCGGCUGGCAC